This 837-nucleotide ribosomal RNA is filed under the name Streptococcus equi. Its description in RNAcentral is "bacterial SSU rRNA". It matches the Rfam family "Bacterial small subunit ribosomal RNA", at positions 1 to 820 of the family's 1533-position model. Lineage: Bacteria; Bacillati; Bacillota; Bacilli; Lactobacillales; Streptococcaceae. The record is from RNAcentral.
UUUAUGGAGAGUUUGAUCCUGGCUCAGGAUGAACGCUGGCGGCGUGCCUAAUACAUGCAAGUCGAGCGAACAGAUAAGGAGCUUGCUCCUUUGACGUUAGCGGCGGACGGGUGAGUAACACGUGGGUAACCUACCUAUAAGACUGGGAUAACUUCGGGAAACCGGAGCUAAUACCGGAUAAUAUUUCGAACCGCAUGGUUCGAUAGUGAAAGAUGGUUUUGCUAUCACUUAUAGAUGGACCCGCGUCGUAUUAGCUAGUUGGUAAGGUAACGGCUUACCAAGGCGACGAUACGUAGCCGACCUGAGAGGGUGAUCGGCCACACUGGAACUGAGACACGGUCCAGACUCCUACGGGAGGCAGCAGUAGGGAAUCUUCCGCAAUGGGCGAAAGCCUGACGGAGCAACGCCGCGUGAGUGAUGAAGGUCUUCGGAUCGUAAAACUCUGUUAUUAGGGAAGAACAUACGUGUAAGUAACUGUGCACGUCUUGACGGUACCUAAUCAGAAAGCCACGGCUAACUACGUGCCAGCAGCCGCGGUAAUACGUAGGUGGCAAGCGUUAUCCGGAAUUAUUGGGCGUAAAGCGCGCGUAGGCGGUUUUUUAAGUCUGAUGUGAAAGCCCACGGCUCAACCGUGGAGGGUCAUUGGAAACUGGAAAACUUGAGUGCAGAAGAGGAAAGUGGAAUUCCAUGUGUAGCGGUGAAAUGCGCAGAGAUAUGGAGGAACACCAGUGGCGAAGGCGACUUUCUGGUCUGUAACUGACGCUGAUGUGCGAAAGCGUGGGGAUCAAACAGGAUUAGAUACCCUGGUAGUCCACGCCGUAAACGAUGAGUGCUAAG